Molecule: transfer RNA, 67 nt
Filed under: Plateros sp. UPOL ZL2018
Lineage: Eukaryota; Metazoa; Arthropoda; Insecta; Coleoptera; Lycidae
Description: tRNA-Glu
Source: RNAcentral
AUUUCUAUUUAUAUAGUUUAAAUAAAACAUUAUACUUUCAUUGUAAAAUUAAACAUCGUUUUAUAAA